This 376-nucleotide ribosomal RNA is filed under the name uncultured bacterium. RNAcentral describes it as "bacterial SSU rRNA". It matches the Rfam family "Bacterial small subunit ribosomal RNA", at positions 523 to 898 of the family's 1533-position model. The record is from RNAcentral.
AUACGUAGGGGGCAAGCGUUGUCCGGAAUUAUUGGGCGUAAAGCGCGCGCAGGCGGUUCUUUAAGUCUUGUGUUUAAUCCCAGGGCUCAACCCUGGUACGCAUGGGAAACUGGAGGGCUAGAGUGCAGGAGAGGAAAGUGGAAUUCCACGUGUAGCGGUGAAAUGCGUAGAGAUGUGGAGGAACACCAGUGGCGAAGGCGACUUUCUGGCCUGUAACUGACGCUGAGGCGCGAAAGCGUGGGGAGCAAACAGGAUUAGAUACCCUGGUAGUCCACGCCGUAAACGAUGAGUGCUAGGUGUUGGGGGUUUCGAUACCCUCGGUGCCGAAGUAAACACAGUAAGCACUCCGCCUGGGGAGUACGCUCGCAAGAGUGAA